RNAcentral lists this ribosomal RNA (1510 nucleotides) under bacterium RJ56. RNAcentral describes it as "16S ribosomal RNA". It matches the Rfam family "Bacterial small subunit ribosomal RNA". The record is from RNAcentral.
UGAGUUUGAUCUUGGUUCAUGACGAACGCUGGCGGCGUGCCUAAUACAUGCAAGUCGAGCGGACAGAAGGGAGCUUGCUCCCGGAUGUUAGCGGCGGACGGGUGAGUAACACGUGGGUAACCUGCCUGUAAGACUGGGAUAACUCCGGGAAACCGGAGCUAAUACCGGAUAGUUCCUUGAACCGCAUGGUUCAAGGAUGAAAGACGGUUUCGGCUGUCACUUACAGAUGGACCCGCGGCGCAUUAGCUAGUUGGUGGGGUAAUGGCUCACCAAGGCGACGAUGCGUAGCCGACCUGAGAGGGUGAUCGGCCACACUGGGACUGAGACACGGCCCAGACUCCUACGGGAGGCAGCAGUAGGGAAUCUUCCGCAAUGGACGAAAGUCUGACGGAGCAACGCCGCGUGAGUGAUGAAGGUUUUCGGAUCGUAAAGCUCUGUUGUUAGGGAAGAACAAGUGCGAGAGUAACUGCUCGCACCUUGACGGUACCUAACCAGAAAGCCACGGCUAACUACGUGCCAGCAGCCGCGGUAAUACGUAGGUGGCAAGCGUUGUCCGGAAUUAUUGGGCGUAAAGGGCUCGCAGGCGGUUUCUUAAGUCUGAUGUGAAAGCCCCCGGCUCAACCGGGGAGGGUCAUUGGAAACUGGGAAACUAGAGAGCAGAAGAGGAGAGUGGAAUUCCACGUGUAGCGGUGAAAUGCGUAGAGAUGUGGAGGAACACCAGUGGCGAAGGCGACUCUCUGGUCUGUAACUGACGCUGAGGAGCGAAAGCGUGGGGAGCGAACAGGAUUAGAUACCCUGGUAGUCCACGCCGUAAACGAUGAGUGCUAAGUGUUAGGGGGUUUCCGCCCCUUAGUGCUGCAGCUAACGCAUUAAGCACUCCGCCUGGGGAGUACGGUCGCAAGACUGAAACUCAAAGGAAUUGACGGGGGCCCGCACAAGCGGUGGAGCAUGUGGUUUAAUUCGAAGCAACGCGAAGAACCUUACCAGGUCUUGACAUCCUCUGACAACCCUAGAGAUAGGGCUUUCCCUUCGGGGACAGAGUGACAGGUGGUGCAUGGUUGUCGUCAGCUCGUGUCGUGAGAUGUUGGGUUAAGUCCCGCAACGAGCGCAACCCUUGAUCUUAGUUGCCAGCAUUUAGUUGGGCACUCUAAGGUGACUGCCGGUGACAAACCGGAGGAAGGUGGGGAUGACGUCAAAUCAUCAUGCCCCUUAUGACCUGGGCUACACACGUGCUACAAUGGACAGAACAAAGGGCUGCAAGACCGCAAGGUUUAGCCAAUCCCAUAAAUCUGUUCUCAGUUCGGAUCGCAGUCUGCAACUCGACUGCGUGAAGCUGGAAUCGCUAGUAAUCGCGGAUCAGCAUGCCGCGGUGAAUACGUUCCCGGGCCUUGUACACACCGCCCGUCACACCACGAGAGUUUGCAACACCCGAAGUCGGUGAGGUAACCUUUAUGGAGCCAGCCGCCGAAGGUGGGGCAGAUGAUUGGGGUGAAGUCGUAACAAGGUAGCC